This is a long non-coding RNA of Physeter macrocephalus (sperm whale), 1304 nucleotides long. RefSeq lists it as uncharacterized. The record is from RefSeq and is a predicted model, not a curated record. Lineage: Eukaryota; Metazoa; Chordata; Mammalia; Artiodactyla; Physeteridae. The transcript has 3 exons.
GUAAAGGUCCUUGACUUUGUUUUAUGGCUAAACUAUUAGCAUUUUGUCUUGCUUGACUGUUUUCCUUUGUUUCUGCAUUUUUCACUUCUCUGAUUAGAUCUGUUCUUUGGGACUCGGGGAGGGCCUAGAAGGCUAAAGCUUUUCUGUAAACAAGAGGCGGGGCUGGGGGAGAGAAGUCUGUCCCCCAGAAGGCCCUGCAGUGGCCAGCUCGGUUUCAAAAACUUAAAACCUUGUAAAGCAGGAGUAACCCGCAGGUCGAUCAUAAGGCAACCUGGCAAUUCUGUCUCCAUUACAACGCCCGCCCUUUGUGCCUUGGCGUGCUCCUUCAGCAGGGGUGUGUCGCACACGCAUCCCUGCGGGCCUGUGGCUGCAGUUCUCAGCGCUCACGCGGGUUUUGAUACAAGACAAGCCCCCCGACCCGUCACGGGCAACAGCAGAUGGCUGCCUUCUCUGGUACAGCAGAGCACUGAGGGGCAGGGACUCUGGAAUCCAACUGUGCGCGUUCACAUUCCAGCUCCACCGCCUACCUGCUGUGUGACCUUGGACAAUGUAACUCUGAGCCUCAGCUUCCUCAUCAUGAUGGCGGGUAGGGUGACCUCUCUGUGGUGUGGACUGAGCGAGUUUAUGCAUGUAAAUCCCUCAGAGCUGGGACUGAAACAAGUUUUACCUAUAUUGUAUUACAAAGUAUGCAUUGUUCGAAGAUUCCCAGCGGUGUUUAUAAAAAUCACUGACUGAAUUCUUUUCUCUGCUCAUUAUGAUUCUGACUUCAUCAAAAGGAAAAGAUUCUGUAGCAGCACGCUUAUACACAUACAAGAGCUGAAAUGAGAAUAUCCCUAAAGUAAUGACCUCAGAGUAAGAAUAGCCAUCCCAGGUGCUUGUAGAAAAUCACUUUUUAAUUUUUAUUAGGUCAACCAAAAUCAGCCCCUCAGUUUUCUAAGCUUUUCCGACAGAGACCAGAAAUUUGAAUUUAGAACCAACUUCCUUUCUUGAUUACAAUCUUGAGACUAUUUUCUGGGAACAGAAUGCCACGUUUUCCAGAAAGAUCCCCACCCCCUUGCUUCUCAACACAGAGCAAGCUACUUCCUGCCAUAUUGUUGCCCUGCACGUUCUCGCAAACAGAAAAAGCACGUGUUGGGUUUCCUCUGCACUGGAACCAACACCUGUAUGACAGCAGCAAACACGAUGACAGUAUGUAGCCCUGAAAUGGUCUGCAUGCCUUACUUUUAUCCAGGUCUUCAUAGCACACGGCUAAAUGGGCUCUUCGUGCUCCUGGUGCUUGCUUAAUUUAACAAGAAAAUGAUGUG